This 97-nucleotide microRNA precursor is filed under the name Marmota monax (woodchuck). Lineage: Eukaryota; Metazoa; Chordata; Mammalia; Rodentia; Sciuridae. The record is from RNAcentral.
AGCAUGAUUGCUGGAUUAUAAGAGUAUGUCUAGUUUUGUAAGAAAUUACAAACUGUCCUUCAAAGUGGCUGGACCAUUUUACCUUCCCAUUAGCAGU